GGAGUCUGGACCGUGUCUCAGUUCCAAUGUGGCCGUUCAUCCUCUCAGACCGGCUACUGAUCGUCGCCUUGGUAGGCCGUUACCCCACCAACUAGCUAAUCAGACGCAGACCCAUCGCAAAGCGAUAGCUUACAAGUAGAGGCCAUCUUUAAUCAGUCUCCCAUGCGGAAAACUGACAACAUUCGGUAUUAGCAGUCCUUUCGGACUGUUGUCCCCAUCUUUGCGGCAGGUUGUCUACGCGUUACUCACCCGUUUGCCACUCGGUUCUCAAAAGCAAGCUUUCAAUCACCUCGUUCGACUUGCAUGUGUUAAGCACGCCGCCAGCGUUCAUC
This 332-nucleotide ribosomal RNA is filed under the name Pseudoselenomonas ruminantium. RNAcentral describes it as "Selenomonas ruminantium partial 16S ribosomal RNA". Lineage: Bacteria; Bacillati; Bacillota; Negativicutes; Selenomonadales; Selenomonadaceae. The record is from RNAcentral.